Molecule: unclassified non-coding RNA, 130 nt
Filed under: uncultured Lophiostoma
Lineage: Eukaryota; Fungi; Ascomycota; Dothideomycetes; Pleosporales; Lophiostomataceae
Description: sequence contains ITS1
Source: RNAcentral
UUGUAGGGACCUCGGUCCUUCCAAGAUGCAACCCUUGCCUUUUUCUAGCGUCUCUCCGUUUCCUCGGCAGGACCCCCGAAAACCUUUUUGCAAUCCCCGUACAAACUUCUGAAGAUACACAAAAACGUUA